CCGCCCUCCCCUUCCCGCCAAGUAUCAUCACAAACCCUACUCCCGUUGCAUGCUGGGAUUGUAGUCCCGAAGCCCUGCGAACAAAGGCCAAAAGCAGUUAAGAAACUACUUCUCCCAGCAUGCCUCCCUCCAGGUGUCCUUACCAACCCCACUCCCGUUGCAUGCUGGGAUUGUAGUCCCGCAGCCCUGCGACCAACGGCCGAGAGCGGCUAAGACACUACUCUUGCCAGCAUGUCCUGCAGUAGGGCACCGCGCUAUGUCUCCCUCCAGGGAUCUGCACCACCUACAAUCCCGUUUCACGCUGGGACUGUAGUCCUGCAAGCCUACAACUAACAGCUGGGUGCGGAUAAGGGACUACAGUUCCCCUCAUUCCCAGCAAAGGUCCCGCCGCCACCGAGCUCCUCCAGGAUUCCAGUGCAGUUCCGCCGUGCGGAGGGAAGCUUGGCUGUUCACAAACCUCUCCUGCCCUCGAGGAGACAGCUUGGCAGGAGCGGCCGAUCUCACCUUGUCAUUGUGACACGGUGUCUCCCCAAAGUGCCGACUUCAUGACUUGUUGUGCCCAAAGUUUAAUUUCCCACAGAACAGGUAGAGGCCAAGAGCUUCUCGCAGCCUCAGCCGCAGGGUUGCCAUGAUGCACCUACUGGACCCCGGGCUGGCUGUAUGGCCCGCGUCUGGGUCAGGCCUCGCACGCAGACGCUCCUGCCACCGUGAUGAAGAGGAGAAAAUGUCCCAGGGGAAAGGCCUGACCUUGCUGCAUUCAGUCAGGAAACAGCCAUGGGGAAGGGACCCCCUUAAACUACUUUGGGAGCCACAUCCACCACUUCUCUGCCCCCUACCCAGGCUGGUUCCCAGGCCUUGGGGUCCUAGUGUGGACCUCCCUGCCGUAAUUAACGCAGGUGCAGGACCAGAGAGCGCCUUGGUCCCUCCGAACACAUGAGGAAAGUUUGUGUGAUUAACUCUUAAGUACUCCACAGCUACACGCUUCUGAAACUGGCGGAGGCACAGCGUCAGUUCUGUACAGGGCGGACGCAGCAGGACAGAAUCUCCCUGGGCAUCUUUCUGGAGCAUCAAAUUUACUGCAAGAUUUUAAAGAAACAAAUUUAGUUGAUUUCCAAGGUAAGAAAUUAAACCUUGAAAACUAGACUAAAAAGUCAUCUGCGCCUGACGUAUCGGACUUUCUGCAGGAAGAAAACUCUAAGGAGAGCAUAUUGUCCAUUAUUAUAAAUAGUGAAAAUGAGAAAUCAUAACAAGUCCCUUGAAAACCCUGCCCUGCCAGCCUUCUAAUAGGGCCUUGGUGUGGUUUUAUGUGGAUUUUCUUUUUGAAGUGUGCUCACCUUUUGAAUAUACAAAUUUGGGGGUUUGACUAAAUUUUGCAAGUUUUCGGCUAUUGUGUGUUUGCUUUUGUAUCAUAUUUAAUUUUUCUGUCCUCUCUCUCCUCAGACUCAGUCAUUCCACAGGUCUCUAAGGCACUUUUCAUUUUCUUCAAACUUGUUUCACUCUUCAGAUUGGAUAAUUUCUAUUGCUGUCUUCUGUUUCUACUCUGUUUAUAAACUCAACAGUCUUUUUAGUUUUUCGUUUCAUUAUCUCUCUAUUCCAUUCUUUUUAUCAUUUCCAUUUCUCUGCUGAGGCUCCACGUGAGUUAAUUCAUUAUGAGGAUAUUUUCUUUUAUCCCCAUGAACAUACUUAUAAUAGCUGCUCUCAAACCCUUGUCUGCUGAUGACAUCGUCUUGGACAUCUUAGAAUUAGCUUCUGCUGCCUGCUUUUUAUCUUGCGUAUAGAUUACAUUUUAACAUUUCUUCACACAUUUCAUGAAUUUUGAUAUUGUGUACUAGAAAUUAUAAGUAGUAGUUAUAGAGACUCUAAAUUCUGUUGUAUUCCUUUGAAGAGGAUUGUUAUUUGAAGAGGGGUUAAUCUGAUUAGAUUCAAACAGCAAUACCUACCUCACCUACAGUGGACACAGUUGAAAUCCUCAUUCUGUUACCGCACACACAUACAUGUAUUAUAUAUGGUUGUGCAUUCCUAUGUAACUGUACCUAAUAUUUUAUCCAGAUUUUAUCAUUGUUACCUGUGAGAGUGUUUAACAAGCAACUCUAGCAUUACUGAAAGUCAGAACCUCACUUUUGUUUGCUUAUUGGAUUUGAACACGUAAUACCUUUGUUUUCUUUUGUAACAUUUUUCAAUUUGAAGUCUUAUUUGGUCUGAUAUUAAUAUAGCCAACGCAGAUCUCUUUUGCUUAUUAUUUGCUUGAAGUACUGUUUUUCUCUUUUCACUUUCAACCUAGUUGUGUCUUUCAAUCUAAUGUGAGUCUUGCACAAACAUGAUAGUUGAUCAUGUUUUUGUUGUUGUUGUUGUUGUUGUUGUUGUUGUUUUUUGAGACGGAGUCUGGCUCUGUAGCCCAGGCUGGAGUGCAGUGGCCGGAUCUCAGCUCACUGCAAGCUCCGCCUCCCGGGUUCCCGCCAUUCUCCUGUCUCAGCCUCCGGAGUAGCUGGGACUACAGGCGCCCGCCACCUCGCCCGGCUAGUUUUUUGUAUUUUUUAGUAGAGACGGGGUUUCACCAUGUUAGCCAGGAUGGUCUCGAUCUCCUGACCUCGUGAUCCACCCGUCUCGGCCUUCCAAAGUGCUGGGAUUACAGGCUUGAGCCACCGCGCCCGGCCGGAUCAUGUUUUUUAGUCUGUUCUGCUGAUCUCUGCCUUUUAAUUCGAUAGUUCAAUCCAUUUACAUUUAGAAGAAUUAUUCAUAAGUAGACUUCUGUCAUUUUGUUAUUUGUUUUCUGUAUACUUUGUCUUUUUGUUUAACAUUUUCUACAUUAUUUUCUUCUAAUGUAUUGGGUUGAUUUUUUUUAGUAAAAUAUUUUAACUUUUUAUUUUCCUUUGUGUAUAUUCUAUAGCUUCUUUUUGUGAUUACCAUUAUGGUGACAUUUAACAUCUGAAUUUAUUUAUUUUAAUUGCUGCAUAGUAGUAUAUUCAAUUAUAUGAACAUAGUAUAAUUUUUAAAUCUAUUCUACUUUUGAUAGUCAUCAUUGGGAUAUUUAAUAUGCUUUUUUUUUAGGUGAGUAUUGAGUUUACAUAAACAUUGAGCGGAACUUACAGAGUUCCCAUAUAUCCUCUCCCUACACCCAGCUUCUCCUCUAUUAUUAACACCUUACAUUAGUGUAGCAUAUUUGUUACUCUUAAUGAACUAAUAUAGAAGAGUUAUUAUUAACUAAAAUCUAAAGUUUUCAUUGAAAUUCAUGUUUUCUGUUUUACAUUCUGUGGAUUUUGACAAAUGCAUAAUGACAUGACACGUAUCCAUUAUUGCAUUAUACAAAAUAGUUUUAUUGUCUUAAAAUAUCCACUGUACCCCAUCUAUUCAUCUCACCCCUUUUUCCCCCAAACUUUUAGAAAGCACAGAUCUUCUUACUGUGUCCAAGGUUUUGCCUUUUACAAAAUGUCAUACGGUUGGAAUCCUGUAGUAUGUAGCCUUUUCAGACUGUCUUCUUUCACAGCCGUAUGUAUUUAAGGUUCCUCAUGUCUUUUCAAGCCUUGAAAUCUCAUUUUUUAAAAAUCAGUGAAUAAUGUUGUAUGGUUGCACCACAACUAGUUUAUUUAUUUACCUAUUGAAGAACAUUAUUUACCUAUUAAGAACAUUAUUUACCUAUUGAAGACCAUCUUGUUUUGUUCCAUGUUUUGGCAAUUAUGUAUAAAACUGCUCUAAACAGUCACCUGCAGAGUUUUGUGCAGAUGAAAGUUUUCACCUCUUGGAUUAAGGCCAAAGAGUGUGAUUGCUGGAUUGUGUGUAAGUGUAUAUUUAGCUCUGUAAGAAACUGGCAAACUGUCUUCCAAACUAGUCAUAAACUUUGCAUUUUCACCAACAAUAAAUGAGAGCUCUUGUUACUCUAUAUCCUCACCAGCAUUUAGUGUAGCCGCUGUUUUGGAUUUUAGCCAUUCUAAUAUGUGUGUGGCAGUAUGCCGUUGUUCUUUUCAAUUUCUCAAUGAUAUAUGCUGUUGAGCAUAUUUUCAUGUGCUUAUUUGCCAUGCUUAUAUGUUCUUUAGUAAGGAUCUGUAUCAUUUGCCAUUUUAUAAUUGGGUUGUUCAUUUCUUAUUCUUGAGUUUUAAGAACUCUGGGAUUUUUUUGCAUAUUUUUGAUACCAGUCUUUUAUCAGUUAUGUGUUUGGCAAAUAUUUUCUCCCAUUCUGCGGCUUGUCUUUUUAUUUUUUAGCAGUGUCUUUGGCAGUGCAGAAAUGUUAUUUUUAAUAUGGCAAUAUUAAAUACAACUAAGCUACUGGGUGAGCUCUAUCAAUGUGUUUUGAGGCAAUCUUGACGUUAAGGACUCACGCUAUCACAUAUUCAGCAGCUUAGACUAAAGGGAGGAAAGCAAGGUGCUUGAGAGGGCUCUCUUGCAAGUUCACUUAUGUGUUAGGUCAAGUGCUUGGCUCUGGGAUGGCAGGGGACAUGGAGCAUGACAACUGCAAUUCUGUCUCCAGAUGGGAAAGUAGAAGGGAGGAUUUCUUCCCAACCUUCAAAUUCUUCCAAGAGAGAAUGCUGAUUUGGAAUCUUGUCUUUCUUUACCAUUUAUUUCAGAAAGGUUGGAUCUCUAGGAAGUGUGGGUCAUGCUCUUAGUUUUCUGGGUUGUUUUUUUUUUUUUUUUUUUUGAGACGGAGUCUCGCUCUGUCACCCAGGCUGGAGUGCAGUGGCCGGAUCUCAGCUCACUGCAAGCUCUGCCUCCUGGGUUCACGCCAUUCUCCUGCCUCAGCCUCCCGAGUAGCUGGGACUAUAGGCGCCCACCACCUCGCCCGGCUAGUUUUUUGUAUUUUUUAGUAGAGACGGGGUUUCACCGUGUUAGCCAGGAUGGUCUCGAUCUCCUGACCUCGUGAUCCGCCCAUCUCAGCCUCCCAAAGUGCUGGGAUUACAGGCGUGAGCCACCGCGCCCGGCCAAUUUUCUGGGUAUUGUCUUUUGUACAUAUCACAUGCAGUUGGUGCUACUGAUGGGGCCUGGACACUACCUAGCUCUGCUGAGCUCCUAGCUCAAUGUACUAGACCAUUGUAUUGUAUUGUAUUGUAUUUUUUGUUUCCAGCAUUUUCUUUUCAAAGCUGGUGAAUCCCAGGUUAUGCAAACUUUCAUUUAACAACAUUCACAUAAUCCCUAAAUUCAGCAUGGUUUAGAACUUGUUAGGUCCGUUUGCUAUAUACAAAUGCCAUGCCUCCAGUUGGUACUGAGGAAUGGUUCCCCACUCCUGGUUUAAAGGCAUUAACACUGAGAAUGGUGGAAAGAGAGCGUAUUUCCCAACACUGCUUUGCAACAUCUAAAUCUUUCAUAGUGGCCUAAUCCACUCAUUGCAUGUUGGUUCUCAGUGUGGGGACAAUGAGGGCAUUACUGAUUUUAGACUUGUUUUCAUCAACUAGCUCAUCUGUGUGGAGUUGAGUUUAGAAAAAAAACAAAACAAAACAAAACAAAACAUAAAAGUUAAUGCAGCAUGUGACACCCUCUGUGGAGGAUACAUUGAAAAUACAUCUUGGCUGGGCGUGGUG
RNAcentral lists this long non-coding RNA (5507 nucleotides) under Macaca mulatta (Rhesus monkey). RNAcentral's name for it is "lncRNA (ENSMMUG00000052566.1)". The record is from RNAcentral. Lineage: Eukaryota; Metazoa; Chordata; Mammalia; Primates; Cercopithecidae.